This 498-nucleotide unclassified non-coding RNA is filed under the name Hevea brasiliensis (rubber tree). Lineage: Eukaryota; Viridiplantae; Streptophyta; Magnoliopsida; Malpighiales; Euphorbiaceae. The record is from RNAcentral.
UUAAACCAUUCAAAACUGAAAACAAAACAUCAUAAUAACCCACAAGGCCACAACUCACAUACAACUGAUUGAACACUACUCGUAACACUUGACAGCAUUGAAUCAAAUAUGAAGUGCCAAUUGGCAAAUUACAAAAUUCCAAGGUUCCCAUUAUCUCUAAAUUUUGCUUCAAGAAAAUGGACAUAGCACGCCCUUUACCCCUUCCAAGCUUUGCAACAAUAACAGGAAGCAUACCACUAGUUAUGCAUGGAAAUUGAAGCCACAAAUUCGUAGAGGAGAUGCACAUUUGAUGCAUUCCCAUAAACAUUUAUGCAAAGUUAACCCAACUACUGUUAUGCGUUUGCUAUCUCCAAAAAAUAAAACAAGACCGACCCUCCUAUAAAAAGAGAUUCCACAUUCCCUCAUUCAAUAAAACAAGAAUUUCAAUUAUUUUCUUUGAGGAAUCAAUAUAAUCAGAAUUGAAAGGGCCGAUUUUCAACAGAAGAUAAGAAGGUGACG